Fragaria vesca subsp. vesca is the source of this 596-nucleotide RNA transcript. RefSeq lists it as uncharacterized. Lineage: Eukaryota; Viridiplantae; Streptophyta; Magnoliopsida; Rosales; Rosaceae. The record is from RefSeq and is a predicted model, not a curated record. The transcript is spliced from 3 exons.
GGGGCACGCGCAGCACUAGCAGAGACAGAUUCGAUCUCUUGACUCCUCUCUCCUCUGAGUCCUCUCUCAGCCGAGUGCCGACUCUUCUCUCCUCUCUCUGCUGAGUACCGAUUCGAUUCCGAUUCGAAGAAGACGUUCGCCGGUCGCCACCCAUUCGAUCUGUUCGCCUCGCCAGUCCGCCACCCAUUCGAUCUCUUCACUGAUCUGAUCUCUUCUCUCUGCCGUCCGCCGUUGCCGCCGUCGCUGUCAUCGCGGUCGUCGCAGUUGCUAAGGUUGCUCUCUUAUGCACCUAAAACCUUGAGGCCUCUCUCUUAUGCCCAGAGCUACGGUUUCAGUUCACUUUCCACCGCCAAGAAAUUGCUUCAAUUCCAAGGUUCUGCUGUGCUAGAGAGCUAGUUGAUGAUGAGAAGGAGUCUUGAAGAUGAGAGGUGCUGCUGUACUAGAGAUUACCCUUUUUGAAAACAAGUUACUGCUCAAGUUUGUUUUUCUUUAAUGUUAUGUUCUAGGUGCUCCUUUGGUAUUAGUUAUGCACUUAACUUAUUUCUUAUGGUUAUGAAAUAGAUUGAAUUUAGAACUUUAUUUGGUAAUAUAAUGAA